This 253-nucleotide ribosomal RNA is filed under the name uncultured bacterium. RNAcentral's name for it is "partial 16S ribosomal RNA". It matches the Rfam family "Bacterial small subunit ribosomal RNA", at positions 524 to 776 of the family's 1533-position model. The record is from RNAcentral.
CACGUAGGGCGCAAGCGUUGUCCGGAAUUAUUGGGCGUAAAGGGCUCGUAGGCGGUUUGUCGCGUCGGGAGUGAAAUCCACUGGCUUAACUGGUGGCUUGCUUUCGAUACGGGCAGACUGGAGGUAUGCAGGGGAGAACGGAAUUCCUGGUGUAGCGGUGAAAUGCGCAGAUAUCAGGAGGAACACCGGUGGCGAAGGCGGUUCUCUGGGCAUGUCCUGACGCUGAGGAGCGAAAGUGUGGGGAGCGAACAGG